RNAcentral lists this long non-coding RNA (1618 nucleotides) under Homo sapiens (human). RNAcentral describes it as "long non-coding RNA NONHSAT186261.1". Lineage: Eukaryota; Metazoa; Chordata; Mammalia; Primates; Hominidae. The record is from RNAcentral.
CAGCUCUGAUGACGAUUUGGAUGAAUAUACCCUUAGAAAAAAUGUGGCAGUUAACUGUAGUACUGAAUGGAAGUGGCUUGUAGACAGAGCACGAGUUGGCAGCCGAUGGACUUGGCUUCAAGCUCAGAUUUCAGACCUAGAAUGCAAAAUCCAACAACUAACAGACAUUCACAGGCAAAUUCGUGCCUCCAAGGGGAUAGUGGUCCUAGAAGAAUGUCAGCUUCCAAAAGAUAUUUUGAAAAAACAAAUGCAAUUUGCAGACCAAGCAGCUUCACUAAACAUUCUAGGGAAUCCUCAGGUUCCCCAGGAGUGUCAAGAUCCUGUACCGGAACAAGAUUUUGAAAUGUCACCAAGCAGCCCUACUUUACUUCUUCGAAACAUCGAAAAACAGAGUGCACAGUUGACUGAGAUCAUCAACAGUUUGAUUGCCCCUCUCAACUUGUCCCCAACUUCAUCACCCCUCUCUUCCAAAUCCUGUAGCCAUAAAUGUCUGGCUAAUGGCAUUUACAGGAGAUAAAAUUGGAAUGUUGGCUUCUUUGCUUUAAUUACCAUAGAGAACUAAGUGUAAUUUUGGGAAAUAUUUGUGUUAAAAAUUAUAUAAUUUAUUAUUUUAAUAACUUUCUAAUAUAGCAUAAAAUGAAAAUUUAUAGCAUGGUGAAAAUUAUGCUAAGUAGCCAUCAAAUUCUUUGUGAAAUUAGUGGAUGUAAACAAAGUCUUAAAAUAAAAAGCUGAGGUGGGCAGAUUUCAUGAGCUCAGGAGUUCGAGAUCAGCCUGGCCAACAUGGAGAAACCCCGUCUCUACUAAAAAUACAAAAAAUUAGCCGGGCGUGGUGGUGUGCUCCUGUAGUACCAGCUACUCAAGAGCCUGAGGCACAAGAAUCACUUGAACCUGGGAGAUGGAGGUUGCAGUGAGCCAAGAUCACACCACUGCACUCCAGCCUGGGCAACAGAGCAAGACUCUGUCUCCAAAAAAAUAAAUAAAUAAAUAAUAAAAAAUAAAAAGCUGACAUUUGAUUUUUAUUUCUAAUUGGUUAUUUUGAACAUCUAAUCUUUAAUACUUUUACUAUUUUAUUUAUGUUGAGUUAUGUAUCCAUUGUUCUAUUGUGGGAACAGUUCUAUUGGUUUUGCUUUAUUUUUUCUCGACUUUAUAUUCAUUCCUCAUAUCAGUGAUAAAACAUGUUGAACGUAAAGAUUCUUACAUAUUGUAUAGGAUAACUAUGAUAUUUUCAUUUAUGAGAACGUAUCCUAAUUAGGAAAGUCAUAAUGUAGGUGAAUGUAUUUUAAGCUGCCCCAUAAAACACAUCAAAUUGGUGUAUAAGCAUUGUGAUUUGGGGCUAAUCCCAUUUUAGAUAAUACUUUGUUUACCUAAUCAAGUACUACACAGUUACACACAUAGUUACAUGUGUGUGUUCAUGUGUUUGUGAAUUUUCAUUUUAAUAUACUUGCCUGUAUUUCUGGUCAUUCAUUUGCAAAGCAUUGAUUGCAUAAUUAUUUAUUGUAUGCCACAUAGUCAAGUCCUAGGGACACAAAUAUGAAGACAGAAGUCUUCACUUGUGAAUAACUCACAGUCUGGUUGGUGAAACAUGUAACUACUUAAUAAAAUAUUAUGUAAUAAAAAU